GCUUGGCUGGCUCAGUAGGUACAGCAUAAGACUCUUGAUCUCAGGUGUUGUGAGUUUGAGUCCCAUGUUGGGUA
This 74-nucleotide transfer RNA is filed under the name Canis lupus familiaris (dog). It matches the Rfam family "tRNA". Rfam says of the family: Transfer RNA (tRNA) molecules are approximately 80 nucleotides in length. Their secondary structure includes four short double-helical elements and three loops (D, anti-codon, and T loops). Lineage: Eukaryota; Metazoa; Chordata; Mammalia; Carnivora; Canidae. The record is from Rfam by way of RNAcentral.